CCUACGGGUGGCAGCAGUGAGGAAUAUUGGUCAAUGGACGAGAGUCUGAACCAGCCAAGUAGCGUGAAGGAUGACUGCCCUAUGGGUUGUAAACUUCUUUUAUAUGGGAAUAAAAUGUUCCACGUGUGGGAUUUUGUAUGUACCAUAUGAAUAAGGAUCGGCUAACUCCGUGCCAGCAGCCGCGGUAAUACGGAGGAUCCGAGCGUUCGCCGGAUUUAUUGGGGUUAAAGGGAGCGUAGGUGGAUUGUUAAGUCAGUUGUGAAAGUUUGCGGCUCAACCGUAAAAUUGCAGUUGAAACUGGCAGUCUUGAGUACAGUAGAGGUGGGCGGAAUUCGUGGUGUAGCGGUGAAAUGCUUAGAUAUCACGAAGAACUCCGAUUGCGAAGGCAGUUCACUGGACUGCAACUGACACUGAGGCUCGAAAGUGUGGGUAUCAAACAGAAUUAGAUACCCGGGUAGUC
RNAcentral lists this ribosomal RNA (460 nucleotides) under uncultured bacterium. RNAcentral describes it as "partial 16S ribosomal RNA". It matches the Rfam family "Bacterial small subunit ribosomal RNA", at positions 338 to 795 of the family's 1533-position model. The record is from RNAcentral.